GAUCAUGGCUCAGGAUGAACGCUAGCGGCAGGCUUAACACAUGCAAGUCGAGGGGCAGCGGGAUGUAGCAAUACAUUGCCGGCGACCGGCGGAUGGGUGCGUAACGCGUAUGCAACCUACCUUAUACAGGGGAAUAACCUUUCGAAAGGGAGACUAACACCCCAUAGUAUUGAUUUAAGGCAUCUUAGAUUAAUUAAAUAUUUAUAGGUAUAAGAUGGGCAUGCGUAUGAUUAGCUAGUUGGUAAGGUAACGGCUUACCAAGGCGACGAUCAUUAGGGGUUCUGAGAGGAAGGUCCCCCACACUGGUACUGAGACACGGACCAGACUCCUACGGGAGGCAGCAGUGAGGAAUAUUGGUCAAUGGGCGCAAGCCUGAACCAGCCAUGCCGCGUGCAGGAAAGACGGCCUUAUGGGUUGUAAACUGCUUUUACAUAAGACUAACCGUAUAUUUGCGAAUAUACCUGAAUGUAUUAUGAGAAUAAGGAUCGGCUAACUCCGUGCCAGCCGCAGC
Molecule: ribosomal RNA, 511 nt
Filed under: uncultured bacterium
Lineage: Bacteria
Description: bacterial SSU rRNA
Rfam family: Bacterial small subunit ribosomal RNA
Source: RNAcentral